GCCCGCCUAGCUCAAUUGGUAGAGCACUUCACUUGUAAUGAAAAGGUUUCCGGUUCAAGUCCGGAGGCGGGCU
RNAcentral lists this transfer RNA (73 nucleotides) under Pseudomonadota bacterium. RNAcentral describes it as "tRNA-Thr". It matches the Rfam family "tRNA". Rfam says of the family: Transfer RNA (tRNA) molecules are approximately 80 nucleotides in length. Their secondary structure includes four short double-helical elements and three loops (D, anti-codon, and T loops). Lineage: Bacteria; Pseudomonadati; Pseudomonadota. RNAcentral also lists the same sequence under 3 other names. The record is from RNAcentral.